RNAcentral lists this long non-coding RNA (203 nucleotides) under Rhinopithecus bieti (black snub-nosed monkey). RNAcentral's name for it is "lncRNA (ENSRBIG00000045655.1)". The record is from RNAcentral. Lineage: Eukaryota; Metazoa; Chordata; Mammalia; Primates; Cercopithecidae.
GGCAGAUGAGUAUAGCCUUCAAUCAGAAAGCAAUAGAAGCUGACUUCUGGGUCUGUUGUGUUUUGCUCAUUAGGAAUGAUGUUCCUGACAUUCAGCGACAUCCACUUGGCCCCUUUUUCUGAUGAACAGCUCUAUGUGGAACACUUCUCCAGAGCCAAUUUUUGGAAACAGGUGGUGAAUGCUUGCAUGAUUUCUGUCAGAAG